CGUUCUGCAAUCGUUCGUUCAGGUUGAUGGGCUUUUCCGCACCGGACUGUCAAUCACAUAGUAAUAACCAGAGAGCGUCGUAACUCUAUGGUUUUGGCUCCAAAUCGACAACAUGGCCGCGCCCGCCAUUGAGCUUCAAAACGUGUUUUAGAGACCCACGGAGAGUCAAUGGGUGACGUCACAGUAGCUUUGUCCAUAUUUUUUACAGUCUCUGGUUUCAUCACGCCAUGCAGUGCUUCAAGUUUUCUCAAUAAAUACUUUUAAAUAUGCAGACAUUUUACCGGUUAAGCAGUUAGCUCCAACACGAUUAACGUUAGCAGGAAAGCUAUGGAAUAACGAUAGAGGAAUGCAUACGGUCCAGCAUUUUACACGACACACAAUAAUGUCACGUCAUUACUCCAGGGUCCUCAAGUCCACGGGGUGUCGCUAUUUAGGUCGGAACGAAUGUCUGAAAUGAAGCGGGCCACAAUUGAACGACGCACCUCCGAUAUUUCCGGCCAGUUCAGCGCGUCAGUGUUGUCAAAUCAAGAGCGGAGCAGGAGCCUGUCAAUUCAGCUAGACCCCUCAUUGUUAUCUAAUACUGCGAGCUCUUUAGAGUAUUCUGCACAAAAAAUGGUUCUGCUGACAAUGAUUGCUCGGUUGGCGGACGGGCUGCCGCUCGCCGCGUCAAUGCAAGAAGACGAACAGUGUUAGCCAGGGAUGUCCUGGAUGGGAUAGAGAAGCAGAUUCCCUCCUUCCUGGGGUUGAAGUUCAGUGGUAGUGACCUGCUGGACUUUGGCCAGUGUGUCAGUUACUGUCCGUCGGACUGCUCAGUCCUUUAUGACGUGGAUGAGGUAAAAAAAAAAAA
Anguilla anguilla (European eel) is the source of this 847-nucleotide long non-coding RNA. RefSeq lists it as uncharacterized. The record is from RefSeq and is a predicted model, not a curated record. Lineage: Eukaryota; Metazoa; Chordata; Actinopteri; Anguilliformes; Anguillidae. The transcript is spliced from 2 exons.